GACGAACCGUGCGAACGUUAUUCGGAAUCACUGGGCUUAAAGCGCGUGUAGGCGGAUGGCCACGUCGGGCGCUGAAAUCCCCCGGCUCAACCGGGGAACGGGCACCGAUACGGGCCGUCUGGAGGGAGGUAGGGGGGGCUGGAACUUCCGGUGGAGCGGUGAAAUGCGUUGAGAUCGGAAGGAACGCCCGUGGCGAAAGCGAGCCCCUGGACCUUUUCUGACGCUGAGACGCGAAAGCUAGGGGAGCGAACGG
Molecule: ribosomal RNA, 253 nt
Filed under: uncultured bacterium
Lineage: Bacteria
Description: partial 16S ribosomal RNA
Rfam family: Bacterial small subunit ribosomal RNA
Source: RNAcentral